AGCGGCGGACGGGUGAGUAACACGUAGGCAACCUGCCUGUAAGACUGGGAUUACAUAGGGAAACCUAUGCUACUACCGGAUAGGGCAUUCUCUCGCAUGAGAGGAUGCGAAAAGAUGGCGCAAGCGAUCACUUACAGAUGGGCCUGCGGCGCAUUAGCUAGUUGGUGGGGUAACGGCCUACCAAGGCGACGAUGCGUAGCCGACCUGAGAGGGUGACCGGCCACACUGGGACUGAGACACGGCCCAGACUCCUACGGGAGGCAGCAGUAGGGAAUUUUCCACAAUGGGCGCAAGCCUGAUGGAGCAACGCCGCGUGAACGAUGAAGGCCUUCGGGUUGUAAAGUUCUGUUGGUAGGGACGAACAAGUGCCGUUCAAAUAGGGCGGUGCCAUGACGGUACCUAUCGAGGAAGCCACGGCUAACUACGUGCCAGCAGCCGCGGUAAUACGUAGGUGGCAAGCGUUGUCCGGAAUUAUUGGGCGUAAAGCGCGCGCAGGCGGCUAUGUAAGUCUGGUGUUAAAGCCCGGGGCUCAACCCCGGUACGCAUCGGAAACUGUGUAGCUUGAGUGCAGAAGAGGAAAACGGUAUUCCACGUGUAGCGGUGAAAUGCGUAGAGAUGUGGAGGAACACCAGUGGCGAAGGCGGUUUUCUGGUCUGUAACUGACGCUGAGGCGCGAAAGCGUGGGGAUCAAACAGGAUUA
This 700-nucleotide ribosomal RNA is filed under the name uncultured bacterium. RNAcentral's name for it is "bacterial SSU rRNA". It matches the Rfam family "Bacterial small subunit ribosomal RNA", at positions 94 to 780 of the family's 1533-position model. The record is from RNAcentral.